GGGCCCGUAGCUCACCUGGCUAGAGCGCCGGUUUUGCACUCCGGAGGUAAGGAGUUCGAUUCUCCUCGGGUCCACAA
Molecule: transfer RNA, 77 nt
Filed under: Candidatus Nomurabacteria bacterium CG2_30_43_9
Lineage: Bacteria; Candidatus Nomuraibacteriota
Also listed under: 5 other names
Description: tRNA-Ala
Rfam family: tRNA
About the family: Transfer RNA (tRNA) molecules are approximately 80 nucleotides in length.
Source: RNAcentral